CUGGACCUCAGAUCAGGCGAGGCGACCCGCUGAACUUAAGCAUAUCAAUAAGCGGAGGAAAAGCAACUAACCAGGAUUCCCCUAGUAACGGCGAGCGAAGCGGGAACAGCUCGAGCAGGCAAUCUCUGGUGUCGAUCGCCAGCGAAUUGUGGCCGGCAGAGGCGGGUGCACCAGACGCGACUCCGUCGAAGUUGACCUGGAAAGGCACGUCGGAGAGGGUGAUAGCCCCGUGCGCGGCGGAGUCGCCGAAGGCCGCUACCGCCUUCGGAGAGUCGGGUUGUUUGGGAAUGCAGCCCAAAGUGGGUGGAAAACUCCAUCUAAAGCCAAAUAACGGCACGAGACCGAUAGCGAACAAGUACCGUGAGGGAAAGGUGAAAAGCACUUUGGAAAGAGAGUUAAAAAGGCCGCGAAACCGUUGGGAGGGAAACGCAUGCAGCCGGACUGGCCCGCGUCGAGUUCAGGGGGCCGCCGGGCGUCCCGCUCGUCGUCGACACCCUCGCGGGUCGUCGGCGGGUGGCGGCGUCGGGCUCCCCUGCACUCUCGGCGGCAGGGGCCGGCCAAGUGCGGCGGAUUCCGGGCGAAGAGCACCGUCGGGCAGGUAGCGCAGCCGUCUCUGGCGGAGGCGAACUUACAGCCGUCGGUGCGGAGCGCUCGGCGUCCGCCGAGGAGAGCGGUGGCAGUUCCACCCGUGCAGCGCAGGUCCGCCUCGGCGGGCCGGGGCGCUCUCGUCCGUUCGGCGACCCGACCGCGUCACUGCACGCAGUGUCCGGGCGAGGUCCGUCCGUCCGGGAGGGAGGCCGUCCCACGCCUUGCGCUUCGGUAGCUUGGCCAGCCGUCGGCUGCAUUCGA
This 849-nucleotide ribosomal RNA is filed under the name Discodermia polydiscus. RNAcentral's name for it is "eukaryotic LSU rRNA". It matches the Rfam family "Eukaryotic large subunit ribosomal RNA", at positions 1 to 647 of the family's 3401-position model. Lineage: Eukaryota; Metazoa; Porifera; Demospongiae; Tetractinellida; Theonellidae. RNAcentral also lists the same sequence under 1 other name. The record is from RNAcentral.